UCAAGUUAUUAAGGGUGCAGGGCGGAUGCCUUGGCACUAGGAGCCGAUGAAGGACGUGAUAAGCUGCGAUAAGCUUCGGGGAGUUGCACGUAAACUUUGAUCCGAAGAUUUCCGAAUGAGGAAACUCACUUAGAGUAAUGUCUAAGUAUCAUUAAGUGAAUACAUAGCUUAAUGAGGGGAACUCAGGGAACUGAAACAUCUAAGUACCUGAAGGAAGAGAAAGAAAUUCGAUUCCGUAAGUAGCGGCGAGCGAACGCGGAUUAGCCCAAACCAAUAAAGUUUUCUUUAUUGGGGUUGCGGACAUAUCAUAACGAAGAGGUAUCGUAAUUGAAGAGGUUUGGAAAGACCCACCACAGAAGGUAAUAGUCCUGUAUGUUAAACGAGAAGACUUUAGAUAUGAUCCAGAGUACCACGGGACACGUGAAACCCUGUGGGAAUCAGGAGGGACCACCCUCCAAGGCUAAAUACUACCUAGUGACCGAUAGCGUAUAGUACCGUGAGGGAAAGGUGAAAAGAACCCCGGGAGGGGAGUGAAAUAGAACCUGAAACCCUGCACUUACAAGCUGUGGAAGCACAUUUCUUGUGUGACCGCGUACUUUUUGUAGAACGGGCCAACGAGUUACGUUAAGUAGCAAGGUUAAGCACUUAAGGUGCGGAGCCGUAGCGAAAGCGAGUUUUAACUGAGCGUUCAGUUACUUGACGUAGACCCGAAACCGGGCGACCUACCCAUGAGCAGGAUGAAGCGAAAGUAAAAUUUCGUGGAGGUCCGAACCCACGAGCGUUGAAAAGCUCGGGGAUGACUUGUGGGUAGCGGUGAAAUUCCAAUCGAGCCCGGAGAUAGCUGGUUCUCCCCGAAAUAGCUUUAGGGCUAGCCUCAAGGUGAGAGAUACGGAGGUAGAGCACUGAAUGUCCUAGGGGGUAUUGCACCUACCGAAGACUAUCAAACUCCGAAUGCCGUCAUCUUAUACUUGGGAGUCAGACUGUGGGUGAUAAGAUUCAUAGUCGAAAGGGCAACAGCCCAGAUCGUCAGCUAAGGUCCCUAAAUGUAAGUUAAGUGGUAAAGGAUGUGGGAUUGCACAGACAACCAGGAUGUUGGCUUAGAAGCAGCCACUCAUUCAAAGAGUGCGUAAUAGCUCACUGGUCGAGUGAUCCUGCGCCGAAGAUUUCCGGGGCUAAAACUUACUACCGAAGCUACGGCAUCAGUAAUGAUGGGUAGGGGAGCUUCCCAUACGGGUUGAAGCAUGACCGUAAGGACAUGUGGACAGUAUGGGAGUGAGAAUGUUGGCAUGAGUAGCGAGAUGUGGGUGAGAAUCCCACAGGCCGUAAACCCAAGGUUUCCAGGGGAAGGUUCGUCCGCCCUGGGUUAGUCGGGACCUAAGCUGAGGCCGAAAGGCGUAGGUGAUGGACAACAGGUUGAUAUUCCUGUACUACCGAUAACCGUUUGAGAGAAGGGAUGACACAGUAGGAUAAGCUAAGCACACUGUUGGUUAUGUGUGCCCAAGCAUUGAGGCAGUCAAAGUAGGCAAAUCCGCUUUGAUAAUGCUGGGAUGUGAUGGGGAGCGAAAUUUAGUAGCGAAGUAGCUGAUUUCACACUGUCAAGAAAAGUCUCUAUCGAGGUUAAAGGUACCCGUACCGCAAACCGACACAGGUGGGUGAGGAGAGUAUCCUAAGGCCAGCGAGAGAACUGUUGUUAAGGAACUCGGCAAAAUGACCCCGUAACUUAGGGAUAAGGGGUGCCACCAUCAGGUGGCCGCAGAGAAUAGGCCCAAGCGACUGUUUACCAAAAACAUAGGUUUCUGCUAAGUCGCAAGACGAUGUAUAGGAGCUGACGCCUGCCCGGUGCUGGAAGGUUAAGGGGAUCUGUUAGAGCAAUCGAAGCAGUGAACUUAAGCCCCAGUAAACGGCGGCCGUAACUAUAACGGUCCUAAGGUAGCGAAAUUCCUUGUCGGGUAAGUUCCGACCCGCACGAAAGGCGUAACGAUUUGGGCACUGUCUCAACAACAGACUCGGUGAAAUUGUAAUUCCGGUGAAGAUGCCGGAUACCUGCGACAGGACGGAAAGACCCCAUGGAGCUUUACUGUAGCUUGACAUUGGGUCUUGGUACUACAUGUACAGGAUAGGUGGGAGGCUUUGAAACCAGGACGCCAGUUUUGGCGGAGCCAUCCUUGGGAUACCACCCUUGUAGUACUGGGACUCUAACCAUAGGCCAUGAAUCUGGUCUUGGGACACUGUCAGGUGGGCAGUUUGACUGGGGCGGUCGCCUCCCAAAAGGUAACGGAGGCGCUCAAAGGUUCUCUCAGUACGGUCGGAAAUCGUACGUAGAGUGUAAAGGCAAAAGAGAGCUUGAUUGCAAGACAUACAGGUCGAGCAAGGAUGAAAAUCGGACUUAGUGAUCCGGUGGUUCUGCGUGGAAGGGCCAUCGCUCAACGGAUAAAAGCUACCCUGGGGAUAACAGGCUUAUCUCCCCCAAGAGUCCACAUCGACGGGGAGGUUUGGCACCUCGAUGUCGGCUCAUCACAUCCUGGGGCUGUAGUAGGUCCCAAGGGUUGGGCUGUUCGCCCAUUAAAGUGGUACGCGAGCUGGGUUCAGAACGUCGUGAGACAGUUCGGUCCCUAUCCAUCGCAGGCGUAGGAAAUUUGAGAAGACCUGUCCUUAGUACGAGAGGACCGGGAUGGACGUACCUCUGGUGUACCAGUUGUCCUGCCAAGGGCAUGGCUGGGUAGCUAUGUACGGAAUGGAUAAGCGCUGAAAGCAUCUAAGCGCGAAGCCAACUUCAAGAUAAGAUUUCCCACCGCAAGGGUAAGACCCCAGAAAGACUAUCUGGUUGAUAGGUCGAAGGUGUAAGUGCAGCAAUGUAUUUAGCUUAUCGAUACUAAUAGGUCGAGGACUUGACCAA
RNAcentral lists this ribosomal RNA (2896 nucleotides) under Clostridioides difficile. RNAcentral describes it as "bacterial LSU rRNA". It matches the Rfam family "Bacterial large subunit ribosomal RNA". The record is from RNAcentral. Lineage: Bacteria; Bacillati; Bacillota; Clostridia; Peptostreptococcales; Peptostreptococcaceae.